Molecule: ribosomal RNA, 440 nt
Filed under: uncultured bacterium
Lineage: Bacteria
Description: partial 16S ribosomal RNA
Rfam family: Bacterial small subunit ribosomal RNA
Source: RNAcentral
CCUACGGGGUGCAGCAGUGGGGAAUAUUGCACAAUGGGGGGAACCCUGAUGCAGCGACGCAGCGUGGGUGAAGGAGUACUUCGGUACGUUAAGCCCUAUCAGCAGGGAAGAAAAUGACGGUACCUGACUAAGAAGCCCCGGCUAACUACGUGCCAGCAGCCGCGGUAAUACGUAGGGGGCAAGCGUUAUCCGGAUUUACUGGGGGGAAAGGGAGCGUAGACGGCAGUGCAAGUCCGGAGUGAAAGCCCGGGGCUCAACCCUGGGACUGCUCUGGAAACUGGAAAGCUGGAGUGCGGGAGGGGCAGGCGGAAUUCGUGGUGUAGCGGUGAAAUGCGUAGAUAUCAGGAAGAACCCCGGGGGCGAAGGCGACCUGCUGGAGCGUUACUGACGUUGAAGCUCGAAAGCGUGGGGAGCAAACAGGAGUAGAUACCCUUGUAGUC